This 497-nucleotide ribosomal RNA is filed under the name uncultured bacterium. RNAcentral describes it as "partial 16S ribosomal RNA". It matches the Rfam family "Bacterial small subunit ribosomal RNA", at positions 28 to 507 of the family's 1533-position model. The record is from RNAcentral.
GAUGAACGCUGGCGGCGUGCCUAAUACAUGCCAGUCGAGCGAACAGACGAGGAGCUUGCUCCUCAGACGUUAGCGGCGGACGGGUGAGUAACACGUGGAUAACCUACCUAUCAGACUGGGAUAACUUCGGGAAACCGGAGCAAAUACCGUAUAGCAUAUUGAACCUCAUGGUUCAAUAGUGAAAGACGGAUUUGCUGUAUCUUACAGAUAGAUCCGGGCCGAAUUUGGUAGUUGGUAAGGUAACGGCUUACCAAGGCAACGUGGCGUAGCCGACCUGGGAGGGGGAUGGGCCAACCGGGAACUGGAACACGGUCAAGACUCCUAGGGGAGGAGGCAGUGGGGAAUCUUCCGCAAGGGGCGAAAGCCUGACGGAGCAACGCCGCGGGAGUGAUGAAGGUCUUCGGAUCGUAAAACUCUGUUAUUAGGGAAGAACAAAUGUGUAAGUAACUAUGCACGUCUUGACGGUACCUAAUCAGAAAGCCACGGCUAACUACGUG